UCUGCAGCUCCGUAAGCUCUGGCAUGCUCUCUGAAUCCCCUCUGAGAAACUUCCAAGUGCAGCUUGUCUUGCCUCACAGUGCUGCACAGGCUGCUCCUCUCAGUGUGGAAUGCUCUUUGCCCUGCUCCUAAGGUGGCAGCUGUGGAGAUAUUAAAUGGCCAAGUCCAUGAAGUUACCUAAAGAUGGAGGAAGACGAGAUACACCUAUGGAGAGGAGAAGAGGAAAGAAGCUUGUACAUUCUAGAUACUUUGGGAUUUCUUGUACCCAACACAAGGAAGAUGUCUGGACUCCCUAGCCUGAACUCCAAGGCCACUGUAGGUCUCCGAGAAGAUAAAAAGACUAAGAAUUCAAGCCGCCACCAUCACCUGGGAGUCCAGCUACCAACGCACGUGGAAACUAUCCAUGGAGACCCCAGGUUCAGUCUGCAGCAUGGCCACAUAGUUAUUCUUCACUAAAAUAACAUCUGGCUUUCAUUCUUUAAUGACAACUCAUUUGGACAGGAC
Molecule: long non-coding RNA, 503 nt
Organism: Mus musculus (house mouse)
Lineage: Eukaryota; Metazoa; Chordata; Mammalia; Rodentia; Muridae
Product: predicted gene, 33453
Exons: 3
Source: RefSeq, a predicted model, not a curated record